This 1604-nucleotide ribosomal RNA is filed under the name Salmonella enterica. RNAcentral describes it as "partial 23S ribosomal RNA". It matches the Rfam family "Bacterial large subunit ribosomal RNA", at positions 1213 to 2801 of the family's 2925-position model. Lineage: Bacteria; Pseudomonadati; Pseudomonadota; Gammaproteobacteria; Enterobacterales; Enterobacteriaceae. The record is from RNAcentral.
ACUGUGUGUUGUUGGGUAGGGGAGCGUUCUGUAAGCCUGCGAAGGUGGCCUGUGAGGGUUGCUGGAGGUAUCAGAAGUGCGAAUGCUGACAUAAGUAACGAUAAUGCGGGUGAAAAACCCGCACGCCGGAAGACCAAGGGUUCCUGUCCAACGUUAAUCGGGGCAGGGUGAGUCGACCCCUAAGGCGAGGCCGAAAGGCGUAGUCGAUGGGAAACAGGUUAAUAUUCCUGUACCUGGUGUUACUGCGAAGGGGGGACGGAGAAGGCUAUGUUGGCCGGGCGACGGUUGUCCCGGUUUAAGCGUGUAGGCUGGUUUUCCAGGCAAAUCCGGAAAAUCAAGGCUGAGGCGUGACGACGAGGCACUACGGUGCUGAAGCAACAAAUGCCCUGCUUCCAGGAAAAGCCUCUAAGCCUCAGGUAACAUCAGAUCGUACCCGAAACCGACACAGGUGGUCAGGUAGAGAAUACCAAGGCGCUUGAGAGAACCCGGGUGAAGGAACUAGGCAAAAUGGUGCCGUAACUUCGGGAGAAGGCACGCUGACAUGUAAGUGAAGCGGUUUACCCGUGGAGCUGAAGUCAGUCGAAGAUACCAGCUGGCUGCAACUGUUUAUUAAAAACACAGCACUGUGCAAACACGAAAGUGGACGUAUACGGUGUGACGCCUGCCCGGUGCCGGAAGGUUAAUUGAUGGGGGCAGCGCAAGCGAAGCUCCUGAUCGAAGCCCCGGUAAACGGCGGCCGUAACUAUAACGGUCCUAAGGUAGCGAAAUUCCUUGUCGGGUAAGUUCCGACCUGCACGAAUGGCGUAAUGAUGGCCAGGCUGUCUCCACCCGGGACUCAGUGAAAUUGAACUCGCUGUGAAGAUGCAGUGUACCCGCGGCAAGACGGAAAGACCCCGUGAACCUUUACUAUAGCUUGACACUGAACACUGGUCCUUGAUGUGCAGGAUAGGUGGGAGGCUUUGAAGUGUGGACGCCAGUCUGCAUGGAGCCGUCCUUGAAAUACCACCCUUUAAUGGCUGGUGUUCUAACGUAGACCCGUGAACCGGGUUGCGGACAGUGUCUGGUGGGUAGUUUGACUGGGGCGGUCUCCUCCUAAAGCGUAACGGAGGAGCACGAAGGUUGGCUAAUCCUGGUCGGACAUCAGGAGGUUAGUGCAAUGGCAUAAGCCAGCUUGACUGCGAGCGUGACGGCGCGAGCAGGUGCGAAAGCAGGUCAUAGUGAUCCGGUGGUUCUGAAUGGAAGGGCCAUCGCUCAACGGAUAAAAGGUACUCCGGGGAUAACAGGCUGAUACCGCCCAAGAGUUCAUAUCGACGGCGGUGUUUGGCACCUCGAUGUCGGCUCAUCACAUCCUGGGGCUGAAGUAGGUCCCAAGGGUAUGGCUGUUCGCCAUUUAAAGUGGUACGCGAGCUGGGUUUAGAACGUCGUGAGACAGUUCGGUCCCUAUCUGCCGUGGGCGCUGGAGAACUGAGGGGGGCUGCUCCUAGUACGAGAGGACCGGAGUGGACGCAUCACUGGUGUUCGGGUUGUCAUGCCAAUGGCACUGCCCGGUAGCUAAAUGCGGAAGAGAUAAGUGCUGAAAGCAUCUAAGCACGAAACUUGCCCCG